AGCAGUCGCCGCGGUAAUACGUAGGUGGCGAGCGUUGUCCGGAAUUAUUGGGCGUAAAGGGAGCGCAGGCGGACAUAUAAGUCCAUCUUAAAAGUGCGGGGCUCAACCCCGUGAGGGGAUGGAAACUGUAUGCCUUGAGUGCAGGAGAGGAAAGCGGAAUUCCCAGUGUAGCGGUGAAAUGCGUAGAUAUUGGGAGGAACACCAGUGGCGAAGGCGGCUUUCUGGACUGUAACUGACGCUGAGGCUCGAAAGCCAGGGGAGCGAACGGGAUUAGAUACCCCAGUAGUCCCUGUCUCUUAUACA
Molecule: ribosomal RNA, 303 nt
Filed under: uncultured bacterium
Lineage: Bacteria
Description: partial 16S ribosomal RNA
Rfam family: Bacterial small subunit ribosomal RNA
Source: RNAcentral